ACGCUGGCGGCGUGCCUAAUACAUGCAAGUCGAGCGAACCACUUCGGUGGUGAGCGGCGAACGGGUGAGUAACACGUAGGUUAUCUGCCCAUCAGACGGGGACAACGAUUGGAAACGAUCGCUAAUACCGGAUAGGACGAAAGUUUAAAGGUGCUUCGGCACCACUGAUGGAUGAGCCUGCGGCGCAUUAGCUAGUUGGUAGGGUAAAGGCCUACCAAGGCGACGAUGCGUAGCCGACCUGAGAGGGUGAACGGCCACACUGGGACUGAGACACGGCCCAGACUCCUACGGGAGGCAGCAGUAGGGAAUCUUCGGCAAUGGGCGAAAGCCUGACCGAGCAACGCCGCGUGAAUGAUGAAGGCCUUCGGGUUGUAAAAUUCUGUUAUAAGGGAAGAAUGGCUCUAGUAGGAAAUGGCUAGAGUGUGACGGUACCUUAUGAGAAAGCCACGGCUAACUACGUGCCAGCAGCCGCGGUAAUACGUAGGUGGCGAGCGUUAUCCGGAAUUAUUGGGCGUAAAGAGCGCGCAGGUGGUUGAUUAAGUCUGAUGUGAAAGCCCACGGCUUAACCGUGGAGGGU
Molecule: ribosomal RNA, 577 nt
Filed under: uncultured soil bacterium
Lineage: Bacteria
Description: bacterial SSU rRNA
Rfam family: Bacterial small subunit ribosomal RNA
Source: RNAcentral